RNAcentral lists this ribosomal RNA (305 nucleotides) under uncultured bacterium. Its description in RNAcentral is "bacterial SSU rRNA". It matches the Rfam family "Bacterial small subunit ribosomal RNA", at positions 335 to 658 of the family's 1533-position model. The record is from RNAcentral.
GGCCUACGGGAGGCAGCAGUCGGGGAUAUUGCGCAAUGGAGGAAACUCUGACGCAGUGACGCCGCGUAUAGGAAGAAGGUUUUCGGAUUGUAAACUAUUGUCGAUAGGGAAGAAAAAAGACUGUACCUAUCAAGAAAGCUCCGGCUAACUCCGUGCCAGCAGCCGCGGUAAUACGGAGGAUGCGAGCGUUAUCCGGAUUUAUUGGGUUUAAAGGGUGCGCAGGCGGUCUGUUAAGUCAGCGGUCAAAGCCCGGGGCUCAACCCCGGCGAGCCGUUGAAACUGGCGGGCUGGAGUUGGAGAGAAGG